GUUAGGAUCAUUAUAAUAUUAAACUAAUGUUUUCAAUCUCGGGUUAUUAACCCAAAAUAAGACUCUCUUGGUACAAGAGUCAACAUUGGAUUUAUAAAUUCCAAUGCUGUGGAUGGGAUGAAUGAUGAAGGACACAGUGAAAAAAAAUACCACAAAACUCCUGGCAAGAGUUUAAUGUUUUCAAAUCAAGGGAUUCAUCAAGAUCCCAAGUGGUAUACGAGGGUGUGGACUCUAAAUCCCCAGAGUAUAAACUCUAGUGUUAUCAAAUGCUUGAAAAUUUAAGUUAGCUUGAGAAACUAACUUAUCAAUCAGUAAAGUGCUACAAUAAACCUUAACCAAUUAUUGUAGAUGUAAUUGUAGCAAAAAAAUUCUUUGCUUUACAGUUUGUUAAUAUUGGAGACUAAAGGUUUCGUAAUGUUAAACAUGUUAAGAAGAGAUAGAGAGAACUUGCGUUGGGUGACAUUAUCUGUAGCAGAUAGCAAGAGUAGCCCUGGCAAACUAUGAUUGCAUCUGAAAGAGUGAUGACCUGUUCUACAGAUACGGAAUUGUUGGUAACGAAAAUCAAUGGUUUUGGCUUAACAUUACAACUAAUAGCAAUGGAUAACUAGGUUCUUGCAUCGAUGAAGGACACAGUGAAAUGUGAUAUGAGUUGUGAAUUGCAGAAAUCUGUGACUCUUCGUCAUUUGAACGCAUCUGGCACCAUAGAGAUCUCUUUAUGGUAUACUUGGUUCAGCUUUAUAUAUAUCUAACUUAGUUAGUAAUUCAAAAGCAAAGUUCUGCUUUUAAGAUUAUUAUUGACAAUUUUAAGGAUGGACUAAUUUAUUGAUAGUUAGGGGUCCUUAGAAUUGUUCAAAAAAAAAGAAGGCAAGUUUAACGACUUGCCUACAAUAAAACAUAAACUGAACUCAAGUAAGGAAACCUGCUGAAUUUAAGCAUAUAACUAAGCAGAGGAAAAGAAACUAACAAGGAUUUCCUUAGUAACUGCUAGUGAAAAGGAAACAGCUCAAACUGAAUCCACAAGAUCUUAUCUUGUAGAAAUGUAGUUUGGUCAAGACAACUGGGCCUAUAUCUGUGAAAGUACUUUCUUGGAAAAGAUCACAGUGUUGGGUGAUAGUCCCAUAUCAUGGAUCGGCAAGCCAUUCCAGUUGGAUUGAUUGCGAGUCGGGUAGUUUGGGAAUGCUACCUUAAAUGGGUCGUAAAUUCGAUCUAAAGCUAAAUAUGAUGCAAGAAACCGAUAGCGAACAAGUAGCGUUAGCGAAAGUUGCAAAGAACUCUGGAGAGAGAGUUAAAGUCCUUGAAAUUGCUAUUAGGGAAGCCUAAAGAAUCGUUUAUUUAACUAGUCGAUUCAGUUGUUGAUGAGAUUAAGAUCAUGUUAAUUGGAUUGUUGUAAAAGGCAAACGGUUGCAUUUUCUUAAACUUGGUGCAAUGCAUUUCGAUAGUUAGCUCAGCAUCGAUAACAGUAAGAGAAGAGAGAGAGACAGUAUGAUACGGGUGACCUAUGACACUUGUUUACUCUUUUUGAAUUAAGUAAGGUAGCUUGCUAUCUUAUUCUUCGGGCAGUUAUCGAGGGGGUUAAAUUCCAACCGUUCAAGUUCACACGGCGUCAUAUAGGAGUUUUGAACAGGUGGUAAGUAGGGGAGACAGGCAACUGUGUUUCUUAUGAUCUGCUGACUUUGUAUUCCUUAUGAUACUUGAAUAAGAUGCUGCAAAUACAACGGUUCUUUAGGGCCCGUCUUGAAACACGGACCAAGGAGUUUUCAGUCAAGUGAGUUGGAGGGUAAUUAAAUACCUUCUGGCGCAAUGAAAGUAAAAGAUAGACCUAGUCCAUCAUUAUAAAUAGGAAAAUUAUUUCAAAUAAUUGUAACUAUUGACCGAUCUUGAAGUUCUCUGAUAGAUUCGAGUUAGAACUUGACUGAAAGACCCGAAAAGAUGGCGAACUAUGCUUGUUAAGAGAGAAGCCAGGUGAAAAUCUGGUGGAGGCUCGCAGCGAUGCUGACGUGCAAAUCGACUCGUCUGAAAUGAGUAUAGCGGCGAAAGACCAAUCGAGCCAUCUAGUAGCUGGUUCCCUU
RNAcentral lists this unclassified non-coding RNA (2069 nucleotides) under uncultured fungus. RNAcentral describes it as "sequence contains 18S rRNA gene, ITS1, 5.8S rRNA gene, ITS2, 28S rRNA gene". The stretch from base 896 to 2069 matches the Rfam family "Eukaryotic large subunit ribosomal RNA", at positions 1 to 961 of the family's 3401-position model. Lineage: Eukaryota; Fungi. The record is from RNAcentral.